AGAUGAUUGGGGUGAAGUCGUAACAAGGUAGCCGUAUCGGAAGGUGCGGCUGGAUCACCUCCUUUCUAAGGAUAAUGCAGUCCUUG
RNAcentral lists this ribosomal RNA (86 nucleotides) under Neobacillus niacini. RNAcentral's name for it is "Bacillus niacini partial 16S ribosomal RNA". The stretch from base 1 to 65 matches the Rfam family "Bacterial small subunit ribosomal RNA", at positions 1469 to 1533 of the family's 1533-position model. The record is from RNAcentral. Lineage: Bacteria; Bacillati; Bacillota; Bacilli; Caryophanales; Bacillaceae.